RNAcentral lists this ribosomal RNA (484 nucleotides) under uncultured bacterium. Its description in RNAcentral is "partial 16S ribosomal RNA". It matches the Rfam family "Bacterial small subunit ribosomal RNA", at positions 30 to 507 of the family's 1533-position model. The record is from RNAcentral.
AUUGAACGCUGGCGGCAGGCCUAACACAUGCAAGUCGAGCGGAUGAAGGGAGCUUGCUCCUGGAUUCAGCGGCGGACGGGUGAGUAAUGCCUAGGAAUCUGCCUGGUAGUGGGGGAUAACGUCCGGAAACGGGCGCUAAUACCGCAUACGUCCUGAGGGAGAAAGUGGGGGAUCUUCGGACCUCACGCUAUCAGAUGAGCCUAGGUCGGAUUAGCUAGUUGGUGGUGUAAAGGCCUACCAAGGCGACGAUCCGUAACUGGUCUGAGAGGAUGAUCAGUCACACUGGAACUGAGACACGGUCCAGACUCCUACGGGAGGCAGCAGUGGGGAAUAUUGGACAAUGGGCGAAAGCCUGAUCCAGCCAUGCCGCGUGUGUGAAGAAGGUCUUCGGAUUGUAAAGCACUUUAAGUUGGGAGGAAGGGCAGUAAGUUAAUACCUUGCCGUUUUGACGUUACCAACAGAAUAAGCACCGGCUAACUUCGUG